AUAUGUAGUAGAAAAAAAUCGAGUUUAGUUUUAAAGAAACCCACAUCCACAUCAUGCAGGUCUCUCAGGCAUUUAGGAUGAAUAUUGAAGAGCUGUGGUGCCCUGAAGCCCAAGCUGUUGCUGUAUCUGGUCCUAUAUUUUGAUGGUGAUGUUGGGGUCUUUGGCACCAUGUAGUGGGGCCCCGUUC
Octopus sinensis (East Asian common octopus) is the source of this 187-nucleotide long non-coding RNA. RefSeq lists it as uncharacterized. The record is from RefSeq and is a predicted model, not a curated record. The transcript has 3 exons. NCBI's taxonomy places the organism in Eukaryota, Metazoa, Mollusca, Cephalopoda, Octopoda, Octopodidae.